This 449-nucleotide ribosomal RNA is filed under the name uncultured bacterium. Its description in RNAcentral is "partial 16S ribosomal RNA". It matches the Rfam family "Bacterial small subunit ribosomal RNA", at positions 29 to 523 of the family's 1533-position model. The record is from RNAcentral.
AACGAACGCUGGCGGCAUGCCUAACACAUGCAAGUCGAACGAGAUCUUCGGGUCUAGUGGCGCGCGGGUGCGUAACGCGUGGGAAUCUGCCCUUUGGUUCGGAAUAACAGUUGGAAACGACUGCUAAUACCGGAUGAUGACGAAAGUCCAAAGAUUUAUCGCCAGAGGAUGAGCCCGCGUAGGAUUAGCUAGUUGGUGUGGUAAAGGCGCACCGAGGCGACGAUCCUUAGCUGGUCUGAGAGGAUGAUCAGCCACACUGGGACUGAGACACGGCCCAGACUCCUACGGGAGGCAGCAGUGGGGAAUAUUGGACAAUGGGCGAAAGCCUGAUCCAGCGAUGCCGCGUGAGUGAUGAAGGCCUUAGGGUUGUAAAGCUCUUUUACCCGGGAUGAUAAUGACAGUACCGGGAGAAUAAGCUCCGGCUAACUCCGUGCCAGCCGCCGCAGUAA